CUGGCGGCUCGCUUGCGAGGCAUUUCUCUUGAAUUCGAAUAUUUCGAAGAUUUGACAUUUUUAAGUGAAACGUCUUCGCAAAGAGUAGGAAGAAGAUUUUUACUUUUACUGUUGUGUUGCUGCAGCCUCUAAUGAUCACUACGAGGAGCUGAAAACUAAUUGAAAAAAGAAAUCCAAACCCUAUUCCUGACGCUACAAUGGCCUUAAACUCUUUGUACGAUAUAUGAAGAUCAAAUUUUAAAGCUUGAAGACGUCAUAAUUGCUUAGACGUGUAAAAUUUCACACUAAUUCUUUGCUCAACUAAUUCCGACAUGCUGAAAUUCACAGAAUUCGGGUUAACUGAGUUGGGGUUGGUACUGCGCCAAAAUAAACUAGUCUCGCAUCUGUCUAAAGACGGUCACAGACUGUGCAAGGAAUACAGACAAGUGGACCAACAAAAGUUGGCAGGGAAUGCGUUAAUCAAUGCUUUACUGCUUUCGACGUCAACUCAAGCCCGUGGAAAUUUUCAAUGACCAAACUGACUCUCCAUCUCU
This is a long non-coding RNA of Anastrepha ludens (Mexican fruit fly), 533 nucleotides long. RefSeq lists it as uncharacterized. The record is from RefSeq and is a predicted model, not a curated record. Lineage: Eukaryota; Metazoa; Arthropoda; Insecta; Diptera; Tephritidae. The transcript is spliced from 4 exons.